Homo sapiens (human) is the source of this 500-nucleotide long non-coding RNA. Ensembl annotates it as S-phase cancer associated transcript 1. Its record names the gene SCAT1. The record is from Ensembl. Lineage: Eukaryota; Metazoa; Chordata; Mammalia; Primates; Hominidae.
GAGGACCCCUGGCUUUAACAACAGAAAGACCCCAGUUACUGGAUUGGGAUCCACCCUCACUCAAUAUGGCCUCAGCUUAAUGAAAGACAUCUGCAGAGACCCUAUUUCUACUAAAAGCCACAUUCUGAGACUUCUCGUGGGCAGCCAUCCCCAGUGCAGGACAUGCUAUUGACUUCCAUGAGACAAACACCUACUUGGAAAUCAGGUUUUUUCUGUACCUUUUGAAGGAGCAGGAAUUUCCCAGCAUUUCCUGGACAAAGACGGAGGCCACAUUCGCUGCAUCCUUUCCAGCAAGAUGUCAUUCUGAGAUUUUUGUCAUUCCUGGGCGUUAUGAGGACUGCCAAGGGACACAAUUCCAUGGGAGGAAAGUUUUCUUCUAAGCUGCAAGCCAGCUCUGGCUUCUGGAGUUUCUCCUUAGGAUUGCAAGACAGUAGUUCCCUGUCCUUUAGGUCUUCUCCAGAAAUACCUUAAAAUAGCAAAUAAAAUAAGAUAUAAGCAAA